CAGGGAGACAACAAAAUGUUUAAUUUUAUUAUUUUGUCACCUUAGGUCGAUCGGUAUCUCACGUUCUUAAUUUUAUUAAGAAUUUCAUUUCCUAAGUUUUUCUAGGUCACACCCAUUAUUUUCCUGGGCCAUUAGCUCAGGUGGUUAGAGCGCACCCCUGAUAAGGGUGAGGUCCCUGGUUCAAGUCCAGGAUGGCCCAUAUCUCUAUGUUGGGGGUAUAGCUCAGUUGGUAGAGCGCCUGCUUUGCAAGCAGGAUGUCAGCGGUUCGAGUCCGCUUACCUCCACUGAUUACCACCUCUUCCAUAAUUUUGAGAAAGGAAAAUUUAGAGUUGUGACACAAUUCUGAACGAAUCUAGCUUCCUAAUGAAAUCAUUAAGAUGCUGGACUCAUUGAAUUAAUUUCAUUGUUUUCAGAGAACCUUGACAACUGCAUAGAUUAUUUUUAAAGACAAUAAGCAUCUUUAAUGAUGCAGAUUUAUUAUUUGUGCGAAUGCAUUAAUAACAAUUCUAUUAAGCUGAUGCUUCAAUUAUGAAGUUAUU
Molecule: transfer RNA, 539 nt
Filed under: uncultured Prochlorococcus sp.
Lineage: Bacteria; Bacillati; Cyanobacteriota; Cyanophyceae; Synechococcales; Prochlorococcaceae
Description: partial 16S-23S ribosomal RNA intergenic spacer
Rfam family: tRNA (bases 212-284)
Source: RNAcentral